UACGGAGGAUGCAAGCGUUAUCCGGAUUCACUGGGUUUAAAGGGUGCGCAGGCGGACAUUUAAGUCAGGGGUGAAAUCCUACAGCUUAACUGUAGAACUGCCCUUGAUACUGAAUGCCUAGAGUAAAGCUGAAGUGGGCGGAAUGUGUUGUGUAGCGGUGAAAUGCUUAGAUAUAACACAGAACACCAAUCGCGAAGGCAGCUCACUAAACUUUAACUGACGCUCAUGCACGAAAGCGUGGGGAGCAAACAGGAUUAGAUACC
RNAcentral lists this ribosomal RNA (263 nucleotides) under uncultured bacterium. RNAcentral's name for it is "partial 16S ribosomal RNA". It matches the Rfam family "Bacterial small subunit ribosomal RNA", at positions 524 to 786 of the family's 1533-position model. The record is from RNAcentral.